Long non-coding RNA from Hibiscus syriacus, 291 nucleotides. RefSeq lists it as uncharacterized. The record is from RefSeq and is a predicted model, not a curated record. NCBI's taxonomy places the organism in Eukaryota, Viridiplantae, Streptophyta, Magnoliopsida, Malvales, Malvaceae. The transcript is spliced from 3 exons.
UCAUGACUUGCGAUGUUUUUCUUUAAUUGAACAGAUUACAACCUUCAACAUUUCUAUUGUUGUUCAUGGGACAGUUGCCGGGAGUAACACUUUUGCCUGGUGAAUCUGAUCCUUACGCAGUCCCGAAGAGCAUGGGGAUUUUUUCGUUUCCUUGAAAGCCCUAAAAGUUUAACCACAAGUUCUGUAGCCCAAAGGAUAGUUAGCAACCAUGAGGCUUACAUGAAACGCAAUGUCAAAAAAGCUCAGAGUGAAAAGAAAUACUAUGAAGAGAAGACUUAUGUUGCAGGAGAG